GCAACACGUCCUUGAGAGGCUCUGUCGUUAUUUCAACUAGUUGGAUUGACUUGCCAAGAAAUUUCUGGAACAUCGUAGCCGUUAUCAAUGUAGUCCUUCCCAGCAGGCACUGCGACAGAAAGUAUCAACCUCUCCUUCCUGCGUGAAUCUCCUUCCUGAUUAAACGCCUCUCGAAGUUCCUGUGAUAAGGAAUACCUAUGGUCCCAACGUAUUUCUAACUUUUUCUGGGAGAUGCUGAUGGAGUGUUGGUUUGGUGGUCUCGUCUCUAGUGGCAUUACCAUGUACAGAGGUACACGAAGGCUGUUUCUUCCCUAUUUUCACUUAUUGGAUGACAAGAUGAGAUUGAUAGCGCAUUUUACGACCCAAUAAACUAUUAUCGAAAUGGAA
This is a long non-coding RNA of Limulus polyphemus (Atlantic horseshoe crab), 387 nucleotides long. RefSeq lists it as uncharacterized. The record is from RefSeq and is a predicted model, not a curated record. Lineage: Eukaryota; Metazoa; Arthropoda; Merostomata; Xiphosura; Limulidae. The transcript is spliced from 3 exons.